UAAAAAUAUUUUUAAUAAUAUAUUAGAAAUGAAAUGUUAUUCGUUUUUAAAGGUAUCUAGUUCUUUAAGAAAUAAAUUUAAUUUAUAAAUUUUAUAUUAUUUAAUUAAAUUUAUUAAUUAAAUAAUUAUUUAAUUUAAAUAUUUUAUGGGAUAAGCUAUAUAAUAAAAUUUUAAAAAUUAUUAAAUAAAUUAAUAAAUAUAAGCUUGUAAAUAGUUAUUAUUAAUAAUAAUGUUAUAAUUUAUUUUAUAAUAUUAAUUAUUUAUUAUAAUUUUAAAUUUUUAUUAAAGUAUUUAUUUAAAUAAAUAAAAUAAAAAAAUAAUGAUAAAAUUAGUAUAUUAUUUUGUAAAAAUUAAUAUAAUUGAAAAGUUUUUAUAAAGAAUUCAGCAAAAAUAAUAUUCGCCUGUUUAACAAAAACAUGUCUUUUUUGUUUAUUUAAAAAGUCUAACCUGCCCACUGAAUUAUUAAAUGGCCGCAGUAUAUUAACUGUGCAAAGGUAGCAUAAUCAUUAGUCUUUUAAUUGAAGGCUUGUAUGAAUGGUUGGACGAAAUAUUAACUGUUUCAUAAUAAAUUUAAAUAAAAUUUUAUUUUUUAGUUAAAAAGCUAAAAUAUAUUUAAAAGACGAGAAGACCCUAUAAAUCUUUAUAUUUAAAUUAUAUUAAUUUUUUAUAAAUUUAAUUAUUAUAGUUAAUAAUAUUUUAUUGGGGUGAUAUUAAAAUUUAAUAAACUUUUAUUUUAUUUAACAUUAAUUUAUGAUUAACUGAUCCGUUAUUAACGAUUAUAAAUUUAAGUUACUUUAGGGAUAACAGCGUAAUUUUUUUGGAGAGUUCAUAUCGAUAAAAAAGAUUGCGACCUCGAUGUUGGAUUAAGAAAUAAUUUUAGGUGUAGAAGCUUAAAUUUUAAGUCUGU
This 907-nucleotide ribosomal RNA is filed under the name Drinomyia hokkaidensis. Its description in RNAcentral is "partial 16S rRNA". The record is from RNAcentral. Lineage: Eukaryota; Metazoa; Arthropoda; Insecta; Diptera; Tachinidae.